This 578-nucleotide long non-coding RNA is filed under the name Pan troglodytes (chimpanzee). RNAcentral describes it as "lincRNA". The record is from RNAcentral. Lineage: Eukaryota; Metazoa; Chordata; Mammalia; Primates; Hominidae.
AGGCCGUGGGGCGAUGUUAGUCCUGUGCUGCCCCCUCGUGGAUGCUGCGAGGCUCGCAAGAGAUGGUGGCCCUGAAGGCGCUUUGGGAAUUGUGGAUCAGGCAUCAGUGUGAAGCUUCCUGCUUGUUUGGGAACGAUGGCGGAGGUCAUGAGCUUAUGUUGGGCGAGGGAAAAUGAGUGCAAUGCACUAGGAACAUCCACUCUGUCUGCAAACCCAGAGCGUUCACACAGCACUCUGCUUUAUCUGAGACCUCCCAGCCAUGCCUUUCCAACGCCAUUCUACAGAUGAGGAAACUGAGGCCCUUACCGGCAAGAUUAGGUGACCGCCCACGGUCACACAGUCAGUCACCAGCUGAAAGGAACAGUGAGAAUCUGAGGGCUUAUGGUCCGAGCCCUCAGCCCUGUUUCUGCUCUAACUGGGUGCAACCAGGCUCCCUCCGUGGCAGCCUCUCCUGGUCUGGCUCAGCUGAGCUCCAUGGACGCCCGCUGCUCUCAUCACUUCUGCCUCCUGCACUCUCUGCUUCCGGUUCUCUGGGUUUCGUGCUGUUCCGCUUCCCAUGGGUGGCCAGCCGAAUGCAU